Molecule: non-coding RNA, 119 nt
Organism: Triticum aestivum (bread wheat)
Lineage: Eukaryota; Viridiplantae; Streptophyta; Magnoliopsida; Poales; Poaceae
Source: Rfam
GGAUGCGAUCAUAUCAGCACUAAAGCACCGGAUCCCAUCAGAACUCCGAAGUUAAGGGUGCUUGGGCGAGAGUAGUACUAGGAUGGGUGACCUCCUGUGAAGUCCUCUCGUUGCAUUCC